Carassius carassius (crucian carp) is the source of this 1021-nucleotide long non-coding RNA. RefSeq lists it as uncharacterized. The transcript has 3 exons. The record is from RefSeq and is a predicted model, not a curated record. NCBI's taxonomy places the organism in Eukaryota, Metazoa, Chordata, Actinopteri, Cypriniformes, Cyprinidae.
UAAAUAAAACAUUACGGUGCCAAAUAAUUAACUGCUUCAAAAUAUCAACAUUUACCAUACGUAUUUAUAAAAAUAGCAAUAUUUCCUUUAGCAUGAGAAUAUUCAUUGUAUGCCAUAUGUUUGUUGCGCUCGCAGCCACUAGAGGGCGCUCUCACACUAGUUCAAUGCCAGGUGUUGUUAAUGAAGCAUUAGUUACAGGCGCGAUCAAAGCUGCCCAGGAGAAAAGGUCCUUCAGGAAUCAGAUGCAGUGUGGAAGAGGAUGAUGAAGAGGACUGCAGAACGAUCUCCUGCUGCUUUGGACACAUUGGUUGAGAAACAGCAUGUGCACACUGGUGGAUUGCGGAUGUUGGAUUGGGAGACGGCUGCUGUUCUGAUGGGAAAGACUUUCAAACAAACAGCUUUUCCAUCUGAAUACUGAUGUACAGAACUUGCUUAAAGAUGCUCGCUACAGUGUGUGUAGUGUGUUUCUUUUAAGAAAAAGGAAAAUAUAUUUGAAUUAUUUUCAUCUAAUUUAAUAAUCAAGAAAUGUUUUGGAGCUGUAUGUGUGCUCACUGGCUUUUGCUUUAUAUUUGCAAAUCACAUUUAUCACAUGCUUUAUUGUUGACCAGUCACAUCCAAACUCAACUUCAAGCCUGUUUCAUAUUUCAACUGUUUCAUCAAGUGACCUGCACUGGUAGAAGCUGGAGUGUGUGACAUGAAAGGAAAGUCAACAAUAAUUGUGCUACUGGUUUUGACACAUGAUAACUUUCUUGCAGGGUGUUUGUGUCUGUGAUAUUUCAACAGGGUUACAUGAGCUUUGCAGACCAAUAUGAAUAGUUAAGUCAGCACUCAGAUACUGUUUCAGAGCUAAAAUUGACGUAAUUAUUAAAAAAGUGCUGUUUGACUGCCGAGAUCUGCCCUGUCCACAAAUUCAUACUGAUGUCAUCGCUAUUGCACAACAGUGAAAUUGAUCUGUUUAGUUUGCUUUCAGUAUUAUAGUCUAGGACUGUGUUGUUAUUGUUUAUUUUUAAAUAAGCAAAAU